CCUGGCGAACUGAAACAUCUUAGUAGCUAGAGGAAAAUAAAUCAAAAGUGAUUCCCGUAGUAGCGGCGAGCGAAAUGGGAGCAGCCUAAACCGUGAAAGUGGGGUUGUGGGAGAGCAAUACAAGCGUUGUGCUGCUAGGCGAAGCGGUUGAGUGCCGCACCCUAGAUGGCUAAAGUCCAGUAGCCGAAAGCAUCACUAGCUUAUGCUCUGACCCGAGUAGCAUGGGGCACGUGGAAUCCCGUGCGAAUCAGCAAGGACCACCUUGCAAGGCUAAAUACUCCUGGGUGAACGAUAGCGAAGUAGUACUGUGAGGGAAAGUUGAAAAGAACCCCCAGUGGGUAGUGAAAUAGAACAUGAACCCGUGCUGAGCUCCCAAGCAGUGGGAGGAGAAAGUGAUCUCUGACCGCGUGCCUGUUGAAGAAUGA
RNAcentral lists this ribosomal RNA (425 nucleotides) under Aegilops tauschii subsp. strangulata. Its description in RNAcentral is "rRNA LSU_rRNA_eukarya". It matches the Rfam family "Bacterial large subunit ribosomal RNA", at positions 184 to 618 of the family's 2925-position model. The record is from RNAcentral. Lineage: Eukaryota; Viridiplantae; Streptophyta; Magnoliopsida; Poales; Poaceae.